Molecule: ribosomal RNA, 492 nt
Filed under: uncultured bacterium
Lineage: Bacteria
Description: partial 16S ribosomal RNA
Rfam family: Bacterial small subunit ribosomal RNA
Source: RNAcentral
AGUGAACGCUGGCGGUAGGCCUAACACAUGCAAGUCGAACGGCAGCACAGUAAGAGCUUGCUCUUACGGGUGGCGGGUGGCGGACGGGUGAGGAAUACAUCGGAAUCUACUUUUUCGUGGGGGAUAACGUAGGGAAACUUACGCUAAUACCGCAGACGACCUUCGGGUGAAAGCAGGGGAUCUUCGGACCUUGCGCGAUUGAAUGAGCCGAUGUCGGAUUAGCUAGUUGGAGGGGUAAAGGCCCACCAAGGCGACGAUCCGUAGCUGGUCUGAGAGGAUGAUCAGCCCCACUGGAACUGAGACACGGUCCAGACUCCUACGGGAGGCAGCAGUGGGGAAUAUUGGACAAUGGGCGCAAGCCUGAUCCAGCCAUACCGCGUGGGUGAAGAAGGCCUUCGGGUUGUAAAGCCCUUUUGUUGGGAAAGAAAAGCAGCAGGUUAAUACCCCGCUGUUCUGACGGUACCCAAAGAAUAAGCACCGGCUAACUUCGUG